ACAUGCCUACAACAUAGCAUUAAUGCACUAGAUCCCAUUAGAACUUCGCAGUUAAGCACACUCAGGCCAGAGUAGUACUAGGAUGGGUGACCACCCGAGAAGUCCUAGUGUUUUACAUGCC
Molecule: non-coding RNA, 121 nt
Organism: Picea glauca (white spruce)
Lineage: Eukaryota; Viridiplantae; Streptophyta; Pinopsida; Pinales; Pinaceae
Source: Rfam